Molecule: unclassified non-coding RNA, 267 nt
Filed under: Hevea brasiliensis (rubber tree)
Lineage: Eukaryota; Viridiplantae; Streptophyta; Magnoliopsida; Malpighiales; Euphorbiaceae
Source: RNAcentral
AACACCAUUAAAUUCUCAAAUCCACUCACAUUUCUGGGAAUUUCUUCACCAAUGAAAUUCUUUGUGAGGAUAAGAGUAGAGAGAUUUUUGCACUGCUGCAGUGCAGAUAAUGCUCCAGAUAGGUCAAAAAAACUAUUGUUUGAUAAAGUGAGAACCAGAAUGGAUGUGAGCUUUGCAAAACUAUUGGGGAUAUGGCCAGUUAACUCAUUCUUAGCCAGACUCAAAACUUUCAGUUUUUGGCAAUCAGACAGGGAAUUUGGAAGGGGG